AUCGUACCCCAAACCGACACAGGUGGUCAGGUAGAGAAUACCAAGGCGCUUGAGAGAACUCGGGUGAAGGAACUAGGCAAAAUGGUGCCGUAACUUCGGGAGAAGGCACGCUGAUAUGUAGGUGAAGCCCCUGCGGGCGGAGCUGAAAUCAGUCGAAGAUACCAGCUGGCUGCAACUGUUUAUUAAAAACACAGCACUGUGCAAACACGAAAGUGGACGUAUACGGUGUGACGCCUGCCCGGUG
This 244-nucleotide ribosomal RNA is filed under the name Enterobacter cloacae. RNAcentral's name for it is "partial 23S ribosomal RNA". It matches the Rfam family "Bacterial large subunit ribosomal RNA", at positions 1641 to 1868 of the family's 2925-position model. The record is from RNAcentral. Lineage: Bacteria; Pseudomonadati; Pseudomonadota; Gammaproteobacteria; Enterobacterales; Enterobacteriaceae. RNAcentral also lists the same sequence under 3 other names.